RNAcentral lists this ribosomal RNA (253 nucleotides) under uncultured bacterium. RNAcentral describes it as "partial 16S ribosomal RNA". It matches the Rfam family "Bacterial small subunit ribosomal RNA", at positions 524 to 776 of the family's 1533-position model. The record is from RNAcentral.
UACGAAGGGGGCUAGCGUUGCUCGGAAUCACUGGGCGUAAAGGGUGCGUAGGCGGGUUUUUAAGUCAGGGGUGAAAUCCUGGGGCUCAACUCCAGAACUGCCUUUGAUACUGAAGAUCUUGAGUUCGGGAGAGGUGAGUGGAACUGCGAGUGUAGAGGUGAAAUUCGUAGAUAUUCGCAAGAACACCAGUGGCGAAGGCGGCUCACUGGCCCGAUACUGACGCUGAGGCGCGAAAGCGUGGGGAGCAAACAGG